UCGAAUCAGGUAGGACA
RNAcentral lists this ribosomal RNA (17 nucleotides) under Metarhizium acridum. Its description in RNAcentral is "partial 28S ribosomal RNA". Lineage: Eukaryota; Fungi; Ascomycota; Sordariomycetes; Hypocreales; Clavicipitaceae. The record is from RNAcentral.